Zea mays is the source of this 558-nucleotide long non-coding RNA. RefSeq lists it as uncharacterized. The record is from RefSeq and is a predicted model, not a curated record. The transcript is spliced from 2 exons. Lineage: Eukaryota; Viridiplantae; Streptophyta; Magnoliopsida; Poales; Poaceae.
UACAGUCAUUAAAUACAGCGCAAGCCCGUCUCAGUCUGUCUUUGUCCAUCAACAAGGAGGAAGCGCAUGUGAACAUUUGUGCAUUUGUCGGACGUUCAGAUCUGGACUCACGAUGCUUUCGGUAAAACUUGCCUCUGCUCUGAUCCACCUCCACCUUCAACGACUUGGCACCCUCGAAGACCAAUCCUGCAAGCAAUUCUUUGUUCCAAGAAGACAUUGAGGCCCUCACAAAGAAGACACAAGAUGGUGGGACAAAAGUGGUUGAAGCAAAGGCUGGCAAAGGGCUCUGCAACAUUGUCUAUGGCAUAAGUUUAGAACAUAUGAAUCGUUGUCACUGUCAGCAUGUCUAUUGGUUACACUAUAGAAUAUCUUGUCUGUUUAUUAGCCUUUUAGAAUUUUAUGAUUACUUUCUUCUAUGCUUUGUAACUAUUCAAUCAGUAGAUGCUUCUUGCCUUCAUUGAUUUUUCUAUGAAGGACUACUUGUCAUUCAUUGAAUUUUCUAUGAGACUAUGGUAUAAAUUAGUUGCUGCAUGAUUGCCUAUUACAUGUUCAUGCACA